This is a small nuclear RNA of Pteronotus mesoamericanus, 103 nucleotides long. NCBI's taxonomy places the organism in Eukaryota, Metazoa, Chordata, Mammalia, Chiroptera, Mormoopidae. The record is from RefSeq and is a predicted model, not a curated record.
GUGCUUCAGCAGCACAUGUACUAAAAUUAAAAUGAUACAGAGAAGGUUAGCAUAGUCCCAACACAAAAAUGAUAUACAAAUUUGUGAAGUGUUCCAUAUUUUU